AACAACUUUCCGCCUCUACAUGUGGAGGUACACAACCAUCAGUGUUUAAAAUAUCGCGACGACUUUUUAUAACAGAGUCGUUUUAUGUAGAUUCUCUCUCAACGCUUUAUCAGUGCGCUGCAGCAUGCUUACACUUUAGUCUGUGCAAAUCGGUAAACUUCGACCAAGAAACGAGGAAGUGUUAUCUACAUCAACAUGACUUCAGUUCCGUGUCUGGUAUUGAGGUCCAGAACAAAAUGUACUACGUAAACUCAACGGAUAUUCCACAGCAUCUGGCAGGCGUCUGCAGGAGCCAUACUUGUUCUGUCUACGAUAGAUGCAUACCAACCUUGAAUGAGGACCACAUUUGCUCGCGUUACCUUCAAAGUCAAUGGGCAUGUCACAGCUGGACGAAAGCAGAACGUGCCGGUUUGGCCGCUAAAGAGUACAGUCUUGCUGCAAGAACUUGGUAUUGCGAGAGGGUGGAACGCCGUGUGUACUACCUAAAUAGUCCUCUGAAACCCAAGGACUGUGGCAUAUGUUAUUGUUGUAAGCUCGUGUUCAGCAGGUUAUAACUUCGACCUGAACUAGUGAUUUUCGUUCUUGAUUAAUGUCAUAGACACAUGGCUUUCUGUUUAUAAACAUGCGUCUGUUCAUUGUUUGUGAUGGCAAAUAGAAUCUCAUUCACUGAAAAUAAAUUACACUCUAGAUAAUAUCCCGAUAACAAGGAAAUCAGGAGGGGUGAGGUCAUUCUCGUCCAUUCUAGUGGGGAGCUCAUGUUUAACACACACACCUUUAAAGGGAGAUCAACCUCAUUGUCUGGUAUAAACUGUUUUAUGAAAAAUGUUUUGAUUUUCAGCACACUUUUGAAAAAAUAUUACCACGUCAAUAAUAUAAAGCCCUGUUUGAAAAGCGAAUUUUCGCCAUACUGAAAUCAUUAAUGUUUCGCUGUUUGUACACAGAAUGCUGUUUUCUGAUUCGUCAUUUUUCUUUUCUUUUCAUACUUAAGCUCCGCUCACUUGAUAACUUGAUAACGAUUGGAGAAAUCAACGGUAAUGCGCCACCUAGCGGAACUACUAUUUCUGAGAGAGAAUAGCUGUUUUCGGGAAAAAAGUGCCAGACAGGUCUUGGCACGGUCUUAGCAACCGUUAUAACAGCAAAACCAAAAUGUAGUUUCAAAUUAUGAAGUGAUUUUAAUGUUUUGAACAAUUAGGAGACUAAAACAACAUUGGAUUCAUGUAACUAUUACAUGGACCGAUUUUAUUUAAUAGAGAACGAGAAGAAAACAAUCCGAUGGCGGAGAGUACUUCCCGUGGUAACGCGAUCCCUGACAUCACUACAAACUGCA
Pecten maximus is the source of this 1327-nucleotide long non-coding RNA. RefSeq lists it as uncharacterized. Lineage: Eukaryota; Metazoa; Mollusca; Bivalvia; Pectinida; Pectinidae. The transcript has 3 exons. The record is from RefSeq and is a predicted model, not a curated record.